GAGCCCAACGCAAUAGGUAUUCCUAACUCCUCUACCGUUCGCCUUAAUAAUUUUAAAGCGGGUCGUUCGGUGCGAAUUCGUGAUGAAGAGCCAAGGCUUAUUGAUGUUGAUCCAAAUCAAGAAACAGACGAAGACUCUGGCGAUGAGGAAAGGCAUAGAUUACCAGAAAUUAAUUCUGACACCGAAGAAGACUCAUCGGAUGAUUCCGAUUACGAGCCUUAGUUUUAAUUUCUUCGGAUGUAAUACAUUAAUUUAUAAUAAAAAGGAUUGUGUAUUACCUUAAUUUCUAGUUUACAUAUGUUGAAUUCAUAUUUCUGUUAUUUUAUAUGAAUUUUGGUGAUAUAUGAACAGGAAAUUAGUAUGGUUUAAACCUUCUGUUUUAGGGUUUGUAUUUUUUUACUUAAGCCGACGAAAUACAACAUAAUUCGUCGGCCUAAACCAUCUUAGCCGACGAAAAAUACUUGAAGUCGUCGGCUAAAAGAACUUAUAGCCGACGAAAUACACUAAUAUUUCGUCGGCUUUAUUAAUUUUUUUUAUUACAUACUAUAGCCGACGAAAAAUACUAGACAUCGUCGGCUAAAUUAACUUAUAGCCGACGAAAUUCCCUAAUAUUUCGUCGGCUAAACCCUAAACUUUUUUUUAUUACAUACUAUAGCCGACGAAAUACCCUAAUAUUUCGUCGGCUAAACCUAAAUAUUUUCUGUUACAUACUAUAGCCCUAUCUUCGGUGGUUAUUUUGCGUAAAAUUUUUAUACGACUUAUUAUGUCUCAUCGAUUUGAAAAUAUUUUCAGUUGAAGGUCCGGCCAAAAUACGAAAUUUUGACGGUCCAACGACCUUUUCCGUGCAUUUAGAGGUUUGACUUACGGGAUUGACCGUCCGGAUCGAGCAGUUAACCUUGUCAGAUCAAGUUGAAUUUUUUCCCAUACAUGUAUUUUAUCAUGAUGGUCAGAUCUGACCGUCGGAUUUCCUUUUCUCAAGUUUGAUCAUCACAAUCACAACAUGCUUACUAAUGUUGUAUAACUAGUUUACCAAGUGUUAAGUAAAUGUUCCGUUUCAAAAACAAACUAUACGUAGAACCUUCAAACGUAAAAAAGUCGUGAAAU
RNAcentral lists this long non-coding RNA (1104 nucleotides) under Fragaria vesca (wild strawberry). RNAcentral's name for it is "long non-coding RNA (FVES_LNC005254)". The record is from RNAcentral. Lineage: Eukaryota; Viridiplantae; Streptophyta; Magnoliopsida; Rosales; Rosaceae.